UGAGUGAAUUAGGUAGUUUCAUGUUGUUGGGCCUGGAUUUCUGAACACAACGACAUUAAACCACCCGACUCACGGCAG
Suricata suricatta (meerkat) is the source of this 78-nucleotide microRNA precursor. Ensembl annotates it as microRNA 196a-1. The record is from Ensembl. Lineage: Eukaryota; Metazoa; Chordata; Mammalia; Carnivora; Herpestidae.